Molecule: long non-coding RNA, 3600 nt
Filed under: Salmo trutta (river trout)
Lineage: Eukaryota; Metazoa; Chordata; Actinopteri; Salmoniformes; Salmonidae
Description: lncRNA (ENSSTUG00000002605.1)
Source: RNAcentral
AGGUGUUUCUGGGAGACAUGAUAUGCUGGACCCUGUCAGAGAGGUGUUUCUGGGAGAUAUGAUAUGCUGGACCCUGUCAGAGAGGUGUUUCUGGGAGAUAUGCUGGACCCUGUCAGAGAGGUGUUUCUGGGAGAUAUGAUAUGCUGGACCCUGUCAGAGAGGUGUUUCUGGGAGAUAUGCUGGACCCUGUCAGAGAGGUGUUUCUGGGAGAUAUGAUAUGCUGGACCCUGUCAGAGAGGUGUUUCUGGGAGACAUGAUAUGCUGGACCCUGUCAGAGAGGUGUUUCUGAGUGAUAUGAUAUGCUGGACCCUGUCAGAGAGGUGUUUCUGGGAGAUAUGAUAUGCUGGACCCUGUCAGAGAGGUGUUUCUGGGAGAUAUGAUAUGCUGGACCCUGUCAGAGAGGUGUUUCUGGGAGAUAUGAUAUAGCUGGACCCUGUCAGAGAGGUGUUUCUGGGAGACAUGAUAUGCUGGACCCUGUCAGAGAGGUGUUUCUGGGAGAUAUGAUAUGCUGGACCCUGUCAGAGAGGUGUUUCUGGGAGAUAUGAUAUGCUGGACCCUGUCAGAGAGGUGUUUCUGGGAGAUAUGAUUUCGUUAAAUCCAAUUUGGUUUUAAGUAUAACUUUUGAGUGAUGCCUUUAGCGAGAGGUCUAAUGCUUUAAUAUUUAAUAAUAUCUGCCCUCCGAAUUCAUAUCUAUUUUACACACCAUUAUUAGUUACAUUGGUUUAGUGUGAACGUGCAGACUGGCACUAAGAACAGAACAGAGGGAACGUUUCCCUGGUCAGCUCCAUUAUUAGUUACAUUGGUUUAGUUUGAACGUGCAGACUGGCACUAAGAACAGAACAGAGGGAACGUUUCCCUAGUCAGCUCCAUUAUUAGUUACAUUGGUUUAGUGUGAACGUGCAGACUGGCACUAAGAACAGAACAGAGGGAACGUUUCCCUAGUCAGCUCCAUUAUUAGUUACAUUGGUUUAGUGUGAACGUGCAGACUGGCACUAAGAACAGAACAGAGGGAACGUUUCCCUAGUCAGCUCCAUUAUUAGUUACAUUGGUUUAGUUUGAACGUGCAGACUGGCACUAAGAACAGAACAGAGGGAACGUUUCCCUAGUCAGCUCCAUUAUUAGUUACAUUGGUUUAGUGUGAACGUGCAGACUGGCACUAAGAACAGAACAGAGGGAACGUUUCCCUAGUCAGCUCCAUUAUUAGUUACAGUGGUUUAGUGUGAACGUGCAGACUGGCACUAAGAACAGAACAGAGGGAACGUUUCCCUGGUCAGCUCCAUUAUUAGUUACAGUGGUUUAGUGUGAACGUGCAGACUGGCACUAAGAACAGAGGGAACGUUUCCCCAGUCAGCUCCAUUAUUAACGCCCUUUAAAGUGUUUCUCUGUGUCCCCCAGUGUGGCGGGAUUCUCUUAGAAUACAAACCGUAGUGUAACAACAGUUUUAGUAAUUAAUACUGAUGUCGUGCACAAUGAUCAGUUUCUAUUGGAUAUCAAUUUGUAAGUCGCUCUGGAUAAGAGCUAAAUGAUGUAAAUGUCUAUUGAGGUUUAUGUCGCCCAUUCAUUGUCAGUUAGAUACAGUAGGACCCAAAAACAUAAUCCGGUCUCUAACUCCCCCUUGUGGUGGUCUGGAGCAAUGAAGUGGUGACGCAGUGUAACAAACUAAACCACACAUUACCUCCAAGUACCGCAGCGUAAUCACAACACAUCACUACAUUUACCCACCUGACAGUGGAUAUUGAUAGGACCAGUAACUCUCAUUUGAUUCCAUCUCAUAGUGGUUUAAAUGUCAGAAUGUGUGAAUUGGAUUGUGUUUUUCUGUUGAUUCAUGUUCAUUGAAUUUCUAUUGAACAUUGAACACUGAAAGCUGGGAACCUCAGAUUAAAAUAGAGAUGGGUUCACCCUAGUAAACUAUAGGAGGAUAUAUGGCUGAUAUCUCAGUCUAUUGUUGAUGUAAUAGAGUUUUAUGGUUACAAAAACAUGAAGUUGGAGAAGGACAGACUUUCACACACAACUCACCCAGCUGUUGUCUGAUCUCUGUAGACAGAGAAGAUAAAACAUGAUGUAUUAUGGGUACUAGAACAUGAAGACAGACUACAUCCUCUCUAUUCUGACCUCCUCUGUAGACAGUAGAUAAAACAUGAUGUAUUAUGGGUACUAGAACAUGAAGACAGACUACAUCCUCUCUAUUCUGACCUCCUCUGUAGACAGUAGAUAAAACAUGAUGUAUUAUGGUACUAGGACAUGAAGACAGGUACAUAGAUGUGCUCUAUUUCCUUUGAUAAUGUUGUUAAUGUUGAAAAUCAAAUGAAUAUAGUAAACACAGAGUCCAGAUUCGAAGUUCAUCUUCGGGGAGAAAUAUAAUAUACAGUACAGCCAGUAGAGGACUGGUCACCCCUCAGAGCCUGGUUCCUCUGGUCUACCCAGUACAGCCAGUAGAGGACUGGUCACCCCUCAGAGCCUGGUUCCUCUGGUCUACCCAGUACAGUCAGUAGAGGACUGGUCACCCCUCAGAGCCUGGUUCCUCUGGUCUACCCAGUACAGCCAGUAGAGGACUGGCCAACCCCUCAGAGCCUGGUUCCUCUGGUCUACCCAGUACAGCCAGUAGAGGACUGGUCACCCCUCAGAGCCUGGUUCCUCUGGUCUACCCAGUACAGCCAGUAGAGGACUGGUAACCCCUCAGAGCCUGGUUCCUCUCUACCCAGUACAGCCAGUAGAGGACUGGUCACCCCUCAGAGCCUGGUUCCUCUGGUCUACCCAGUACAGCCAGUAGAGGACUGGUCACCCCUCAGAGCCUGGUUCCUCUGGUCUACCCAGUACAGUCAGUAGAGGACUGGUCACCCCUCAGAGCCUGGUUCCUCUGGUCUACCCAGUACAGCCAGUAGAGGACUGGCCACCCCUCAGAGCCUGGUUCCUCUGGUCUACCCAGUACAGCCAGUAGAGGACUGGUAACCCCUCAGAGCCUGGUUCCUCUCUACCCAGUACAGCCAGUAGAGGACUGGUCACCCCUCAGAGCCUGGUUCCUCUGGUCUACCCAGUACAGCCAGUAGAGGACUGGUCACCCCUCAGAGCCUGGUUCCUCUCUACCCAGUAAAGCCAGUAGAGGACUGGUCACCCCUCAGAGCCUGGUUCCUCUGGUCUACCCAGUACAGCCAGUAGAGAACUGGUCACCCCUCAGAGCCUGGUUCCUCUGGUCUACCCAGUACAGCCAGUAGAGGACUGGUCACCCCUCAGAGCCUGGUUCCUCUGGUCUACCCAGUACAGCCAGUAGAGGACUGGUCACCCCUCAGAGUCUGGUUCCUCUGGUCUACCCAGUACAGCUAGUAGAGGACUGGUCACCCCUCAGAGCCUGGUUCCUCUCUACCCAGUAAAGCCAGUAGAGGACUGGUCACCCCUCAGAGCCUGGUUCCUCUCUACCCAGUACAGCCAGUAGAGGACUGGUCACCCCUCAGAGCCUGGUUCUUACCCAGGUGAUAGACUAGAUAAGGUUUAUAUUCCAGUGAUUUGUAACCAGAGGUAGAGAGGUUCUUACCCAGGUGAUAGACUAGAUAAGGUUUAUAUUCCAGUGAUAUGUAACCAGAGGUAGAGAGGUUCUUACCCAGG